Molecule: ribosomal RNA, 253 nt
Filed under: uncultured bacterium
Lineage: Bacteria
Description: partial 16S ribosomal RNA
Rfam family: Bacterial small subunit ribosomal RNA
Source: RNAcentral
UACGAAGGGGGCUAGCGUUGCUCGGAAUCACUGGGCGUAAAGGGUGCGUAGGCGGGGCUUUAAGUCAGGGGUGAAAUCCUGGAGCUCAACUCCAGAACUGCCUUUGAUACUGAGGAUCUUGAGUUCGGGAGAGGUGAGUGGAACUGCGAGUGUAGAGGUGAAAUUCGUAGAUAUUCGCAAGAACACCAGUGGCGAAGGCGGCUCACUGGCCCGAUACUGACGCUGAGGCACGAAAGCGUGGGGAGCAAGCAGG